This is a non-coding RNA of Cricetulus griseus (Chinese hamster), 1148 nucleotides long. The record is from RefSeq and is a predicted model, not a curated record. NCBI's taxonomy places the organism in Eukaryota, Metazoa, Chordata, Mammalia, Rodentia, Cricetidae.
UACUGCUCAGUAGUAGAGAACCAACUCAUUGUGGUUUCUAUCUGCAUUUCUGGAAUGAUUAACACUGUCAAACAUCUCUUCCUGGGCUAACUGACCACACUUAUCUCUUUAUUGCUGAAAGGGAUGUUUAUGUCUUUGGUUAUUUUAUAGGUGGAUUGCUUUCUUUUUUUGAAUAUUCUUAAAUUUUAAAAAAAAAUAUUUAUUUUUAUGUUUAGGUAUGUGUACUUAGGUAAUUCUGCCUAGGAGUAUGCACACAUUAGUGCAGGUGCCUGCAGUAACCAGAAGAGGGAGUCAGAUCCCUGGAGGUGGAGUUUAAAGGUGGUUGAGAGCUGCCCAGCAGUGGGUUCUGAGAUCUGAACUCCAGUCCUCUGCAAGAGCUGCAAGACUCAAAGCUGCUCAGCCAACCCUUCAGCUCUUCAUUGUUGAAUUAAAUAAAAAAUAUUACGGGGUCAUAAAUUUCAAAUUGCAAAUUAAAUAUGCACCACUACCCCCACCCACCCGGAAAACUCUGUCAAUCAAUUCAAUUACAAGUGCUCUGGGCUUCUAUUGCCCAAGCCUUUUCUCAGUAUAUUCGUGGGUAUGGGAAGUUACUUACAUAAAAUUCCCAUGGAGAGGAUUUUCUUAGUCUUGUGGUGUUAAGUCCUCAUUUUAGCGGUCUGUAACCGACAGCCCGAGGAGCCAACGCCCCUCCCUUCUGCGCAGGCGCAAAUGUCUCCUCUAGCGAUCAAUGCAAUAGCUUGUAGGUGGCUUGGACCACCCGGGCCAGCAAGCUUCCACCGCCCACCCAUUGGUUUGGAAUGCCAGACCUGGCUGGAGGUAUGAAAGGCUACCUGGACAAUGAGUGGCAGCUGCUAAGGAGUCAUUUCAGUUAACCCUGCCAUGUGCCCUGGAGGACACCAGAGCUCCGCCAGUUUGUGGGAGACACCAUCCACUACCCUGAUUUCCUGAAAGCUGCAGGUGGACAGCAUCAGCAAGUCCUGCAGAGCCGUGUGCAUUCUGUCCAUCCUAAGGUGGUUGUGUGGACAAACUUGUAUUUUAAAGACUAAUUGUAGAAAAAGACAUAGACUCAGGCUAAGCUAGUGGAUCUAACCUAGGGAUCUGGGUGGUUACCCACUUAAAGGUCAAUGUAUUAAAGAUUCUAUACUUUU